RNAcentral lists this ribosomal RNA (519 nucleotides) under uncultured bacterium. Its description in RNAcentral is "bacterial SSU rRNA". It matches the Rfam family "Bacterial small subunit ribosomal RNA", at positions 29 to 525 of the family's 1533-position model. The record is from RNAcentral.
AGCGAACGUUAGCGGCGGGCCUAACACAUGCAAGUCGAACGCGAAAGGUCUUCGGACUGAGUAGGGUGGCGCACGGGUGAGUAACACGUAGGUAAUCUACCCUUUGGCGGGGGAUAACGUUCCGAAAGGAGCGCUAAUACCGCAUAAGACCACGGAGUCUCCGGACGCUGUGGGAAAAGGUGGCCUCUUCUUGAAAGCUACCACCGAAGGAUGAGCCUGCGUCCCAUCAGCUAGUUGGUAAGGUAAUGGCUUACCAAGGCGAAGACGGGUAGCUGGUUUGAGAGAAUGAUCAGCCACACUGGCACUGGAACACGGGCCAGACUCCUACGGGAGGCAGCAGUGAGGAAUAUUGGGCAAUGGGCGAAAGCCUGACCCAGCCACGCCGCGUGAGUGAUGAAGGCCCUCGGGUCGUAAAGCUCUGUGGAGAGGGACGAAAACCCUGGUUUCAAAUAGGCUCCAGGCUUGACGGUACCUCUUUAGCAAGCACCGGCUAACUCUGUGCCAGCAGCCGCGGUAAAG